This 250-nucleotide ribosomal RNA is filed under the name uncultured soil bacterium. Its description in RNAcentral is "partial 16S ribosomal RNA". It matches the Rfam family "Bacterial small subunit ribosomal RNA", at positions 26 to 297 of the family's 1533-position model. The record is from RNAcentral.
AGAACGAACGCUGGCGGCAUGCCUAACACAUGCAAGUCGAACGAAGCCUUCGGGCUUAGUGGCGCACGGGUGCGUAACGCGUGGGAAUCUGCCCCUCGGUUCGGAAUAACAGUUAGAAAUGACUGCUAAUACCGGAUGAUGACGAAAGUCCAAAGAUUUAUCGCCGAGGGGAUGACGCCCGUGGUAGUAUAGCGUUAGGUUGGUGGAAGGUAAGGCUCAACCGAAGGCGACGUACUCCGUUAGCGUGGUC